CCUACGAGUGGCAGCAGUGGGGAAUAUUGGGCAUUGGAGGCAACUCUGACCCAGCAACGCCGCGUGAAUGAUGAAGGUCUUCGGAUUGUAAAGUUCUGUGAUGGGGGAUGAACACAAUGACGGUACCCCAAUAGCAAGCCACGGCUAACUACGUGCCAGCAGCCGCGGUAAUACGUAGGUGGCAAGCGUUAUCCGGAAUGACUGGGCGUAAAGGGGGCGUAGGUGGUUUAGUAAGUUGGCGGUGUAAUUCCGGGGCUCAACCUCGGCGCUACCGCCAAAACUAUUAGACUAGAGUGCAGGAGGGGUAAGUGGAAUUCCUAGUGUAGCGGUGGAAUGCGUAGAUAUUAGGAGGAACAUCAGGGGCGAAGGCGACUUACUGGACUGUAACUGACACUGAGGCACGAAAGCGUGGGGAGCAAACAGGAUUAGAUACCCCGGUAGUC
This 443-nucleotide ribosomal RNA is filed under the name uncultured bacterium. RNAcentral's name for it is "partial 16S ribosomal RNA". It matches the Rfam family "Bacterial small subunit ribosomal RNA", at positions 338 to 795 of the family's 1533-position model. The record is from RNAcentral.